This 23-nucleotide non-coding RNA is filed under the name Cricetulus griseus (Chinese hamster). Lineage: Eukaryota; Metazoa; Chordata; Mammalia; Rodentia; Cricetidae. The record is from RNAcentral.
CCAUUUGGUGGGCAGUAGAUCAG